AGAAACUUAGGUUAAAACAAACCAAGAGCCUUCAAAGCUCAAAACAUGAACUAAUAAUCAUAGUUUCU
RNAcentral lists this transfer RNA (68 nucleotides) under Anolis purpurescens (purple anole). RNAcentral's name for it is "tRNA-Trp". The record is from RNAcentral. Lineage: Eukaryota; Metazoa; Chordata; Lepidosauria; Squamata; Anolidae.